AAGGGAAUAUCUGAAGAUUGUCUCUCUCUAUGGGAGUACAUGAACUUGAUUUAACCAGGACAUCUGAAGCAUCGAGAGUUUAACAUCACAGAGAAUUGUAGGUGAACCCCAGGGUGCUAAUAUCUGCUCUGCUUUAUAUCUUUCAGGAUGUGAUUUCACAUGACUGUUCAUCUCCAAUCGCCUCGUGAUUGUGGAGACUAAGGAUUUACACUGCAGUAACUUACCAACUGAAAAGACUUGCUGCUGUCUACUGUCCGGCAUUGAAAAGCUUCUUCCUGCCCUCCAUGCCUGACAUGGCCUCCACGUUUUUCCUCCAGUCGGUGACCUCCUCCUUCUGAUGGAGAGAAAAUGCUUCAGUGAGACAAAGACAGAGAUGAGAGUAACUCAAAUGGUUGCACAGCCGCGGUGAACCGUGCACGCAUCAGACAGACAGACGGGGCGGUUCAAAUGCCAGCAUUUCAUCAGCACCGGGCACUUGAUUUCUAAAAUAACUCAUCUCUUCAGACACAGCACAUCUGAGCAAAUGAGCUGAAAACAGCCAGAUGGGCUCCUGGUGUCUCAAAUACACGUGUUAUAGCAUUGA
Carassius gibelio (silver crucian carp) is the source of this 583-nucleotide long non-coding RNA. RefSeq lists it as uncharacterized. Lineage: Eukaryota; Metazoa; Chordata; Actinopteri; Cypriniformes; Cyprinidae. The record is from RefSeq and is a predicted model, not a curated record. The transcript is spliced from 2 exons.